GGAACACCUUGAGAGAGGCGCAGACGAGCCGCCGCGGAGCCGCCGGACACCGCAGCUGUGCGCGGGGGCCUCUGUGGCGCAUGUGGACGGGCGAGCCAACGCACCGCAGGAAUGUGUGCAGAUCAGAGGCAAACGCACAUGCUCGGGCUUUUACUAUGUAUGUGGUGCUCGAUCGUUUUCAAGUCCUCGGGCAGUGUAGUAGAGACUACGGGGUCACUUUGCUGUGCCGCUGUCGGAAACCUAUAAUUGGAAACGAGCCAGUGACGCGCUGAAAAUAACCAGGUUAGCACUUAGUACCGGUCCAUUUUGGGGAGGGCCCAACACGAGGGCGCAGCACCAUAUAUCAGCUCUUUCCAGCUGUUUGGGAAUAUCCUGCUCUAGAAAAGCUGCAGCACGGCGGCAGCAGCAGCGGCGCAAGCAGGGUGCUUUUUCUCCCGCCCCCCCUUCCAGAAUGGAUAUUGGGUGAGUGACUGGGUGCGCACGGGGGGAUCUCUUGUUGGGAAACGCAGAAGCUCUCUCUCCCUCUCUCUUUUUUUUCUUGAAGGGAGGGAGGGCGGGAGGGGAGGUGGGAGACUGGCACAAGGCUCGACACUGUUGCGUCUGCAUGUUUUUUCUCCUUGGACAGACAGGAAAAAAGAUGGACCAGGGGGACUGUCCGACUUAUUCCACAAGAGAGUUCCCGGCCCCCACCCCCCCAAAAGGAUAAUCUUGCUCAAUUUGGGAUGCGUGCAACACCAAGUGAUCACAUAUUACUUGGGCGGCGGUGGUGCUGGUGGUGGAUGGACGGUGAAGUUCAACUUCGCAUGCAGACGCGAUCUCCUCCAGGCAGCCAGACAAACCCACCAGACAGUCGGCGCGUAUUACGUGAAGAGGUCUCCAUAUGGGCUACGGGAUGCGAACACCUGCCCGGUACGCAGGUAACUACAAUCCGACGGUGUCGCCUACUUCUUCGAACACCGACAGGCAGCAGAUCAGCAGGAAGUGAAGAAGCAUUUGAACCAGAAAACGGCACAGUCUCUCUGAACCUAUUGUGGAGCUAACAUGGCUGCCAGCAAUAAGACAUGAUGACAUUAUCCUGCUUUCUUGCUGGAGGCCUCCCAGUAAGGAGUUCUUGUGAACACAUCUUCCGAGUGACAUGGAGACGGGCCUGCAGCCACCAGCGGAGCUGAGCCGAGCCGCUUUAGAGCCCUGCUGAGACCUGCCAGGCCCACAGCUUUCCCUGCCAGGGGCCUCGCUCGAAGUCAAAGUGAGUUACAACCCAUGCUCUUGACACACACAUGCUAAUGCAGAAGCAAGCACCCAGUAUGUAGGCAUGCAGGCGCACGCACAGGUGAAAUACAUAGAGGAAUAUAUGUGUGCAACCAUAAACCAGUACAGAGGCAAAGAAAUAACUCUGUUCGUGCAAAUAUAUGCACACUCAUACAUAAUGAUACCCCUCUAAAAGAGAUUGUAGCUCCACUGGACCACUAGAUAGACUACAUUUACAUACAUGCAAUCACACACAAUCAUAGAUUUGGUAUUUGCAGCCUAAAUAAAUGAUAUCCCUGCUUCUACCCAUGCAGUAAAGUGAGCAUGUCGUCCAACAGGGGCUCUAUCUGUCAGGGGUAGUUUGAGAUCAAGGUCCAGCAGCUGCUGGAUCAGCUGGAUUGAUCUGUCUGGGUAAACAUGAGGACUGAAAAUGAGCGUGUUUGUGAUUAAAGGCUUAACAGGAAGUGUGUGUGUGUGACAGUGAGAGAGAGAGGGAGCUUCAGUAUGCUGUUUAUACCCUGUACAAAAGAGAGCACUGUGUAUUACCUCCAUGCAUAUGUCAUAUACAUGUGUGUGUGUGUUAUAUUGUGCUUAUAUCCAGCUCCAUUUAAAAAAAAUGUUUGGAUACUGCUGGAGUCAAUUUAUAGCAACAUCAUCCUUAUCUUAUACUGGGCAUUACUGGUGCAGCCCCUUAGUUCAUCCUCCUUUCUUCUGAUUGGCUGCCCCUCGUUAAUAGAAGUCAGUGGGCGGGGGUUCUGUGCUCACAAGCCAGAGCUAUGUACCAUUAACUGGUAGCGACAGAUUGCUGCCCCUCACUGAGCCUGGUUCUGACAGGGGUUUCUUCCUGUUAAAUGGGAGUUUUUCCUUCCCACUGUUGCCAAAUGCUUGUUCAAAGGUUAAUGUUUGAAUAUUGGGAUUUUCUCUGUUUUCUGGCCUUUACUUUACAAUACAUCGUGCUUCGAGCCGACGAAUGUGAUAUGGCAAGUUAAUUUACGCAACUGAACUGAAUUAAGAAAACCUCUCAAGCCAUUGUAACACAUUUUUGACAGAAAAUCAGGAAACUCAUAUUGGCCCUGGUUAAUGUUUUUCAUCGUGACUCACCUAAAAAGAGACAGUCUUCCAGAAAAUGGUUACCAAAAGUAUUUUCCUAACCAUAAUCACGUAGUUUUGGUGCCUAAGCAUAACAAAACUGCAAGCGAAAUUAAAAAAACAACUUAAAGUUGUGACUCAAGUUGUGACUCAACCUUUUCUGAGUUGUCACCAGAUAUCCAAAAUUAUACUGCGAAUUAGUGGAGACAUCAACGCCCCCCCCUCCAAACAAAGCGAAAAACAUGGCACAAAUCAGAUAGGUGGAAUACUCAUGGCCAUUUUUUAGAUACUGAGCAAAUGGACGAGAAUUUACUUAAAAUGUGGUUGUAGCCACAUUAAUUAUCUUGCAAAGUGCCUUUAGAUACAGAAUAAAUGUGUCAGUCCCUCUGCUCAUUACAGCCAAGCCGUAUCUGAAAAGACCCUAUUAAGCUCUCACAUGAGGGCUGACCAACAGUUUCAUGCUGGCUAUAUAUGAAUGUAUCUCACAGCAAUAAUAUAUAGCGAGUGCAUGCGUAGCUAUAUGGUUUGUGUCUAAUCCCAGGAAUGUUGAUGUGGUCCAGAGUUUAAUAAAUGGAGGCGUGGGUGGGGAGUAAGAGUCCCCUGGAGCAGAGUUAAGGUCUUAAUGUACUAAAAAGCCUUGACCCAGACCAUAUACACCCACUCACAGGGACACAGCAUCUUCUCUCCAGUCCAGCACAUUCUUUCAUACUUUGGCUACGCAGCAAAGAAAUAUGCACUUGGACAUACACGGAGAUAUGCAAGCACAACAUGGACGAUAUGACCUUAAACAAUAAACAUGCGCAAAAUGUACCGAGUGGCUCAAACACACACACACACACACACACACACACACACACGAACACAUCCUUGUUGACUUGUGUUGGUCGUUAUUCAAUGAGGAGCACAUGACUUAAAUCGGGUGUGGUGCAUGACAUCUUAUCGAACAAAAGCGUCCCACAGAGAGAGCUGAUGGGGGAGACGAUCCCUCCCCGCUUGUCCUGUCUGUUGGGAGUCAUGAGGUCUCCAUCUCGUUUGCCACGCUGUGUCUCGUGGUUCAAAGUCCAUAAAAUGUUCAAGUUAAAAAAAAAAUCCCCUGCUUUUAAAACUUUCAGCUGCGGUGGUGUGUUGUCAAUAAAUCAGCUGCUUUCCCUGAGGAUAGCAACGUUAUCUCCGGGAGGGAGAGGAAGUGCAAAACACUGCAUGUUUUUCAAGAAUGAAGCCUUUGAAUUUCUUGUUGUGUCCUAUAAAUGUCUCACCUUGAGGGUCUGAUGUCUCGCAGUGAGAAUGGAGGGCUUGUAUUCUACACAUUCAACCCGUCGCUUCUACAUGCUUCUGCAGUCAUGCAGAAAUAAACUCAAGUAUGUUGAUCACAGAAGCUUUAUUGUGUUUUGUCUCAUUAACGAUCUCUUUUAAGUGUCUUGCUGAUAAACUUGUCAUUUAACUGUCAAAAUCAUGACGGCUACCUCCAUGUUAGAUCUUACAGGGAAUAUUUCUUCAUUUAAGAGAUAUGCCAGUUUCUCAAAUGCAUUGUAGCAUCGAACUUUUCUAACAUUAACCAGCGGAGCUGAAUAUUAGAAUGGAAAUAUCCAUAUCAGUUGGACCAGACAUUACCCAGGCAGCCUCCUUGUAGAAAGUAAAGUCCAAAUGAACACAUGUGUGAUUCACAGAGUGAGUUUCCAUCACGUCCUGCCUCCUGCGCAGUCUAUCCAGUCGCCACUCUUCGGCCAAACGUAAACUGCACAAUGCAUUUCAAGUGUCACUAUGCAUCUGUCACAUGUGAGAAAAGCCAACUGUACAAAGUGCAGACCUGAUUCUCUCAACAUUAUCUGGAAUUUAUGUGUAAAACUUGCUAUAGUCUCAUCAACCAAAGUUGCGCGUCACCAUAUAUUAGCUUCAGUGAUAAGAUUAUUUAUCACAACAAAUCUUUGCAACUGUUGCAACUGUUUUGGAGUCCAGUAAGGUUAAUACAGGGGAAAUACUGCGAGUUGCAUACAAAAGCAGGUUGUUCAAGUGCUUCUGUGAGUGUUAAAAUGGCUAAAAAAAAUCUGAAUUCCACAAUGACAAGAGAAGUGAAAAGAUGAUUCUCAAGCUUACUCCUGAACAUUCCCCUUCUCUUUCUAUCUAGCUGAAAAAAGCUUGAAAAGUGUGAGCAAACUGGUGAAAUCAAGCUGAGCAGAAAGGGGUAAACAGGACAUAUGUGUGCAUGUGUCUGUAUAAUCCCAUCACAAGAUAGUGUCGUUGAGAGCCAUUGCCCCGAGGCAGCUGGCCAUAGUCCGUCAAGGGAACUUUAAAUUAGAGUAAUGCUCACUAACACAAGGUUAGACAGUUCAUCUGCUGGAGAGAUAUGAAAAGGGGGGAUUGUCUGGUGCUGUGCUGAUGGCCCAGAGAAAAUAGAGUGAAGAAGUUUUGAAUCCCAGGCCUAUACGUGGACAUGGCUAAGUGUAGAUUGAAUUGAAGAACUGGAGGAUGAAUUGAGGCAGAUGCAGACAGCGUUGCAGAGACUGAGUCCUUUGAUAAUUGAUAAUGGCCUUGACAAAUGUAAGACAAUGUAAUAUUAAAAAAAGUGAAGUAAAAUAAAGUUUGUCAAAUGAUUUGUUUCUGGUUGUGUAAAAUGCUGAAUAAAGUUUGUUUAACACUAAAAUUAACUGUCUCUUUGUCCAUGUGCACAGAAUAUUUACUGUAUAACGUUUAAUUUAAAUGAUCAACAGUGUUAAUGUAUUAAAUGUCCCGACACGGCUGGGCACAGUUGCUUUCGGCAGACGAUACCCAAACAGGAGUAAACAGUGUAUUUUUUACGGACUACUUUAACCUGUGGAAUAAUACAAAUUUGGUGCUCUGACAUUGUACAUGUGGGACCAAUUAAAAAUAAACUACAGUGAACUGCACUGAACAUCGUCAACCUUACAAGUAUAAAAAUGCAAAAGGCACAUCUGAGGGAACACAUGUGCAUUUUUACGUGCAGGAUAACUUCA
Oreochromis aureus is the source of this 5309-nucleotide long non-coding RNA. NCBI's taxonomy places the organism in Eukaryota, Metazoa, Chordata, Actinopteri, Cichliformes, Cichlidae. The record is from Ensembl.